GAAGCAAAAAUGAUAAAGCAGAAUGUUCAAGGCACUAAGAGUCAGAUCUCCCAGCUCUUCUCCAAUUUUGCCUGUGACUAGUCAUCUGUCUUUGGGGCAUCUAACAUUCAUUAUCAAAGGAAAGUUGUGAUGGACUGUCAUUUCCCCAGAGAUCAUUUUUCUGGUUGAGGAUGAGGCAUGAAGUACCAGUGAAGAACUGUCGAAUUCUCCUUUGUGAGAUAUGUCUUGGGUAUUUUAGAUGUGAAGCAUUCCCACGUCUACUUGAGAAGCAACUUCCCAAUUACUAAUAAAACUUGCAGGGAUAUUGAUUGGGAUUUUGAGGAAUUUAUGUAUCUUCUUUACAAUAUUGAAUUCUUCAAUUCAUAAUCAUGUUACAAACUUCCAUUUACUGAAGACAUCUUCACAUUUUCUCAAUAGUGACAGAGCUUCCAGUG
RNAcentral lists this long non-coding RNA (434 nucleotides) under Homo sapiens (human). Its description in RNAcentral is "HSALNT0303794". Lineage: Eukaryota; Metazoa; Chordata; Mammalia; Primates; Hominidae. The record is from RNAcentral.